This 497-nucleotide ribosomal RNA is filed under the name uncultured bacterium. RNAcentral's name for it is "partial 16S ribosomal RNA". It matches the Rfam family "Bacterial small subunit ribosomal RNA", at positions 28 to 507 of the family's 1533-position model. The record is from RNAcentral.
GAUGAACGCUGGCGGCGUGCCUAAUACAUGCAAGUCGAGCGAACAGACGAGGAGCUUGCUCCUCUGACGUUAGCGGCGGACGGGUGAGUAACACGUGGAUAACCUACCUAUAAGACUGGGAUAACUUCGGGAAACCGGAGCUAAUACCGGAUAAUAUAUUGAACCGCAUGGUUCAAUAGUGAAAGACGCUUUUGCUGUCACUUAUAGAUGGAUCCACGCCGCAUUAGCUAGUUGGUAAGGUAACGGCUUACCAAGGCAACGAUGCGUAGCCGACCUGAGAGGGUGAUCGGCCACACUGGAACUGAGACACGGUCCAGACUCCUACGGGAGGCAGCAGUAGGGAAUCUUCCGCAAUGGGCGAAAGCCUGACGGAGCAACGCCGCGUGAGUGAUGAAGGUCUUCGGAUCGUAAAACUCUGUUGUUAGGGAAGAACAAAUGUGUAAGUAACUAUGCACGUCUUGACGGUACCUAAUCAGAAAGCCACGGCUAACUACGUG